GGCAAGAUGGCCGAGCGGUCUAAGGCGCUAGGGUCAGGUUUAUCUGAUCUCACAUGUUCUUCGGAAUAUUCCUAGUCUCGAAAGGGGCGUGGGUUCGAAUCCCACUCUUGUCA
RNAcentral lists this transfer RNA (113 nucleotides) under Aspergillus ibericus CBS 121593. It matches the Rfam family "tRNA". From Rfam's summary of the family: Transfer RNA (tRNA) molecules are approximately 80 nucleotides in length. The record is from Rfam by way of RNAcentral. RNAcentral also lists the same sequence under 1 other name. Lineage: Eukaryota; Fungi; Ascomycota; Eurotiomycetes; Eurotiales; Aspergillaceae.